UACGUAGGGUGCAAGCGUUGUCCGGAAUUAUUGGGCGUAAAGGGCUCGUAGGCGGUCCAUCACGUCGGGAGUGAAAAGCUGGGGCUUAACCCCAGUCCUGCUUCCGAUACGGGUGGACUAGAGGUAGGCAGGGGAGAACGGAAUUCCUGGUGUAGCGGUGAAAUGCGCAGAUAUCAGGAGGAACACCGGUGGCGAAGGCAGGUCUCUGGGCAUUAACUGACGCUGAGGAGCGAAAGCAUGGGGAGCGAACAGG
RNAcentral lists this ribosomal RNA (253 nucleotides) under uncultured bacterium. RNAcentral's name for it is "partial 16S ribosomal RNA". It matches the Rfam family "Bacterial small subunit ribosomal RNA", at positions 524 to 776 of the family's 1533-position model. The record is from RNAcentral.